Molecule: ribosomal RNA, 254 nt
Filed under: uncultured bacterium
Lineage: Bacteria
Description: partial 16S ribosomal RNA
Rfam family: Bacterial small subunit ribosomal RNA
Source: RNAcentral
GACGUAGGAGGCGAGCGUUAUCCGGAUUCACUGGGCGUAAAGCGCAUGUAGGCGGUUGGAUAAGUCUGUUGUUAAAGCCCCUGGCUCAACUGGGGAGGUCAAUGGAGACUGUUCGACUUGAGGGCAACAGAGGCACAUGGAACUCCCGGUGUAGCGGUGGAAUGCGUAGAGAUCGGGAGGAACCCCUAAAGCGAAGGCGAGCCGGCCUAGACGAUGAUUGACGCUGAGGGACGAUAGCGUGGGGAGCGAACAGG